This 935-nucleotide ribosomal RNA is filed under the name Streptomyces scabiei. Its description in RNAcentral is "partial 16S ribosomal RNA". The stretch from base 1 to 826 matches the Rfam family "Bacterial small subunit ribosomal RNA", at positions 26 to 873 of the family's 1533-position model. Lineage: Bacteria; Bacillati; Actinomycetota; Actinomycetes; Kitasatosporales; Streptomycetaceae. The record is from RNAcentral.
GCNGUAGCGCUGUGGGNCAUCNUCUAAAACAUGCAAGUCGAACGAUGAACCACUUCGGUGGGGAUUAGUGGCGAACGGGUGAGUAACACGUGGGCAAUCUGCCCUUCACUCUGGGACAAGCCCUGGAAACGGGGUCUAAUACCGGAUACGACACUCUCGGGCAUCCGAUGAGUGUGGAAAGCUCCGGCGGUGAAGGAUGAGCCCGCGGCCUAUCAGCUUGUUGGUGAGGUAACGGCUCACCAAGGCGACGACGGGUAGCCGGCCUGAGAGGGCGACCGGCCACACUGGGACUGAGACACGGCCCAGACUCCUACGGGAGGCAGCAGUGGGGAAUAUUGCACAAUGGGCGAAAGCCUGAUGCAGCGACGCCGCGUGAGGGAUGACGGCCUUCGGGUUGUAAACCUCUUUCAGCAGGGAAGAAGCGAAAGUGACGGUACCUGCAGAAGAAGCGCCGGCUAACUACGUGCCAGCAGCCGCGGUAAUACGUAGGGCGCGAGCGUUGUCCGGAAUUAUUGGGCGUAAAGAGCUCGUAGGCGGUCUGUCGCGUCGGAUGUGAAAGCCCGGGGCUUAACCCCGGGUCUGCAUUCGAUACGGGCAGACUAGAGUGUGGUAGGGGAGAUCGGAAUUNCUGGUGUAGCGGUGAAAUGCGCAAAUAUCANGANGAACACCGGUGGCGAANGCGGAUCUCUGGGGCCAUUACUGACNCUNAAGAACNAAAGCGUGGGGAGCGAACANGAUUANAUNCCCUGGUANUCCCNCCNUAAACNGUGGNACUAGGUGUUGGCAAAUUNCAAUUNUCGGUGCCNAACUACNAUUAAUUCCCCCCUGGGANUCCGNCCCANGNUAANUCAAAGANUUACGGGNCCCCCAACCCGGACNUUGNUUAUUUACCNCCNAAACUUCAGGUUNCUANCCGANCGCNAAAUGUCCCNUUG